Non-coding RNA from Vicia faba (fava bean), 237 nucleotides. Lineage: Eukaryota; Viridiplantae; Streptophyta; Magnoliopsida; Fabales; Fabaceae. The record is from the annotation of a GenBank genome assembly.
AUGGAGGCAGAGUCGCUGAGUUGCAGUUUACUUUUUAGCGGUAUUGCAGUCCCGUCGGAGGCGUCUGGAACAAACUUGAGCUUCGAUGGUGACUUUCCGAAUUGUGUUAUGUUGGAGAUGGAAGGGUUUUUGAAGGUUUUUGGCAUCUGUUUAUGGCCUGGUUUUAGUACAGGGCUAUGGCUUGGCCUCAUUAUGCAAGUUUCUUGGAUGUAUUAUGGUGCAGAUUUUGCAGUAUGA